UGGGGAUUAUUGGACAAUGGGCGAAAGCCUGAUCCAGCCAUGCCGCGUGUGUGAAGAAGGUCUUCGGAUUGUAAAGCACUUUAAGUUGGGAGGAAGGGCAGUAAGCGAAUACCUUGCUGUUUUGACGUUACCGACAGAAUAAGCACCGGCUAACUCUGUGCCAGCAGCCGCGGUAAUACAGAGGGUGCAAGCGUUAAUCGGAAUUACUGGGCGUAAAGCGCGCGUAGGUGGUUCGUUAAGUUGAAUGUGAAAGCCCCGGGCUCAACCUGGGAACUGCAUCCAAAACUGGCGAGCUAGAGUAGGGCAGAGGGUGGUGGAAUUUCCUGUGUAGCGGUGAAAUGCGUAGAUAUAGGAAGGAACACCAGUGGCGAAGGCGACCACCUGGGCUCAUACUGACACUGAGGUGCGAAAGCGUGGGGAGCAAACAGG
Molecule: ribosomal RNA, 429 nt
Filed under: Pseudomonadota bacterium
Lineage: Bacteria; Pseudomonadati; Pseudomonadota
Description: Proteobacteria bacterium partial 16S ribosomal RNA
Rfam family: Bacterial small subunit ribosomal RNA
Source: RNAcentral